GAGCAACCUGCCUACAAGAGGGGGACAACAGUUGGAAACGACUGCUAAUACCGCAUAAGGCCACGCUAUCGCAUGGUAGAGAGGUCAAAGAUUUAUCGCUUGUAGAUGGGCUCGCGUCUGAUUAGCUAGUUGGUGAGGUAAUGGCUCACCAAGGCGACGAUCAGUAGCCGACCUGAGAGGGUGAUCGGCCACACUGGAACUGAGACACGGUCCAAACUCCUACGGGAGGCAGCAUG
RNAcentral lists this ribosomal RNA (236 nucleotides) under uncultured bacterium. RNAcentral's name for it is "partial 16S ribosomal RNA". It matches the Rfam family "Bacterial small subunit ribosomal RNA", at positions 119 to 353 of the family's 1533-position model. The record is from RNAcentral.